CCUCCGUCGUAGCAAGACCCACCCCGGGCAGACUUGCGCGACUAGGAAAGGCAUCUGGUGCCGUUAUUUUUUGCCAAAUAUUUUUUGACUUUUAGCAUAUUAUGUUGCCUGCACAUUAUACUGCACAAACAGGAUUCGACCUCAGCCUUGUUCCACGGCUUAUAUAAGUCUGACACCUUUCGAGCAGUGUUUGGUAUAUUGCGUUUGCGCGAACACUGAUCGUUACAUCUGUAUUAAAUAUUUGCAUUUCCUAUGAACAAUCAGCAACUCAACUAUGGCCAAUCGCUGUUACAAGAAAACAAGAGACCGGUCUUAUGUAAUCGCCAAUGAACCGGGUAUAAAAGGCCCUGCAAAAGAUCAGCAUUCACAGUCACUGUCUUUCCUCCGUCGUAGCAAGACCCACCCCGGGCAGACUUGCGCGACUAGGAAAGGCAACUGGUGUCUUUAUUUUUUGACUUUUAGCAUAUUAUGUUGCCUGCACAUUAUACUGCACAAACAGGAUUCGACCUCGGCCUUGUUCCGCGUCUUAUAUAAGUCUGACACCUUUCGAGCAGUGUUUGGUAUAUUGCGUUUACGCGAACACUGAUCGUUACAUCUGUAUUAAAUAUUUGCUGUUUUAAUGUUGUAUUUUGGUUAAACAAUUUGAAUUUAAUUAAAAGUACUUCUAUCCAAUCAGCAAUAGUAUUAUGUGUAUGGCAAUUAGUUUUCAUACUUUUACGACAACUUUUUUUGUAUAAUUUAUUGUGGCAAUUCUUAGAAUUGGUGUAAUAAUCAAAAAUAACAGUGAAAUAUAUGACUAGCUCAAUUUGACCAGCAAUUAAUGCAAAUUCAUAUUGCUUUCUACUGGUACCUAUCUGAUGACUAUAAAUUAAUGAAUAAAAUAAAAUUGGAAUAAAGGAAUAAAAUAUACAUAUAUCUAUAUUAUAUUUUGAUCGUUUAACAAACUAAACAAUCUAUUAUGAAAUUUAUUUUAUUUUAUUUCAAAUUCCAAUUGCAUUUAAUAGUACUAACUUUUAAUUCAAAUAUCUAUAACAAUAUUGGAUGAACAAAUACAAAUUGCUGUUUUGGUUAGUCACAGCAUAAUACAGUGAAACUUCUAAUUAACAGUCACCAAAGGGACCAUAAAUAAUGACCGCUAUUUAGAAGUAGCCGUCCUAUAGAGGUGACAAUACAUGACAUAACACUUGAUGGGACCAAAAAACCUAACCGUUACAUAGAGGUGACCGUUAACGGAAGUUUUACUGUACACUUCACCUAAUAACUUAAUAAUUGCAUUCUGAUAAAAAAAAAAAACAGUGCAGCAUCAAGAUCAAUUACCUCUAAAUUUGUAAAAAUUGUUGAUAAUCACAUUAAUAGUUAAUUGUAUGUUUAAAUAAUUAGGUUAAGUUAUUGGUAUAUAACAUAAGUAGGGCUAUGGAGUUUUUAUUAACCUAAAUUGGCAAAUUAAAAUUUUUUUUUACAUCUGAGUGUCAUUUUCGUGCAAUAUAUUAAAAGAUUUUUAUAUCAUAAAAUAUUAAUUAAAAAUUAACAUAAUUUCAAAAAUAAGUGUAAAAAUGAAUAAUUUUUUAAAACAUCCAUAGCCCUAAAAAUAUGUUGUACCCUAUGUAUAGAGUAGAUAAUGUAAAGUAUGUUCAAUGUUCAUUUAAUUUGUAUUAAUUUAUCUAGGGUAGUGGACAUGUUAAGUGUUAAUAUUUUUUAUUAGGUAUGACCUUACCCAAAUCCUGCAAAAAUUUGCACUACGGAAAUUUGUUCAUGUUCUAGUAAAAUUAUUAAUAACUAAUGUGUUUAUUUGAUAAUUUAGUAUUGAAUUAAUGUCCAUUAUUUGGUAUAUGUUCAAUAAACUUGAAUAAAAACUAUCUAUCAA
This is a long non-coding RNA of Rhopalosiphum padi (bird cherry-oat aphid), 1864 nucleotides long. RefSeq lists it as uncharacterized. The transcript is spliced from 7 exons. NCBI's taxonomy places the organism in Eukaryota, Metazoa, Arthropoda, Insecta, Hemiptera, Aphididae. The record is from RefSeq and is a predicted model, not a curated record.